GUUUUGACUUUUCGUCUUAUUUGAAAUAUUUUUACGAUUAAUAUUUUUAAAACAUGAAUAAUACUUUAUGCGUGACUAUUUUUUAAAGUUUUACAAAUUCUUCAAAUAAGACGAAUGGUCAAAAC
RNAcentral lists this microRNA precursor (125 nucleotides) under Oryza brachyantha (malo sina). RNAcentral describes it as "MIR812 microRNA precursor family". It matches the Rfam family "MIR812 microRNA precursor family", at positions 31 to 175 of the family's 205-position model. The record is from Rfam by way of RNAcentral. Lineage: Eukaryota; Viridiplantae; Streptophyta; Magnoliopsida; Poales; Poaceae.